CCUAUAAUUUCAUUUUCGACCAUUAAAUUUCAUUCAGAAGUAGAAAAUGAAUUUUAAUGAAAUAGUAACCUAGAUACAUAAUGCCAUCAAUUAUCAUUAAAGGAAUUCGAGUGCAAUAAUCCCAAAGUCUGUAAAUAUGAAUGGAAACAUUUUCAUUUAUUGUCUUUUUUUUCUCUUUCAGAACAGGUUUAGGAUGACUGGCCACGUGUCCCCACGUGGCAGAUUUUUUACAUUGAAGCACGCAAUAGCUCAAAUGCAGAUGUUGGUAGUUCUACAGAGAAGGACCUGAGAGCAGAAUCUUUUACGGCUUUUUGUUCGCACAAAACAUUCUAGUCAACAGAAGACAAUGAAAACGCAUGGACAUCUGUCGACGUCUGCACACGCCAGGUGGUCAGUAGCUAAGCAACCGUUGCAUAGUUACCCCCAGGUGAUGAAGAAAGGUGGGCCAAACUUCCUCGGAUUCUAUUAAACGAAGCCCUACUCAGUAUUAACCUUUAAAAGAUAAACAGAUUUUAUUUACGAGAAGUAGGAAAGGCCUUUUCUCCUGUCAAAAUUUCGUGAACCAUCAAAUAUUCUUAAAAAUAUCAGAUGGAAUAUUCAGAAUUAAUUAUGAUUUUUACAUAAUUUUAUACGUAAUUAAGCGCCAACGAAUAGCAAAAUGACAGGCUGAUAACAAUAUAGAUUAAAACAUAUUAUUAUUGUUAUUAUUAACUUCGUCUAUUAGGAGGCAGCUCUUUUGCCUCUGGAAAGCGGCUGUGGAUGUAAGGGUCAUUAAAGAAAGGAAUUUUACCUAAGAGGGCACCUCUUGUGAUCUCCAGGAAGGCAAAGUAUUUGCAGGUUUUCACGGAACAUGAUUACGAACGUUAAUCGAACAGGAUGAUAGAAUGUAACAAAGAGCGUUGCAGUCACAGUUCUGAUUUUCGACCACCUGGAAAUUUCCAACAUGCUUGGUUGAAAAAAUAAGAAGCAAGAUCUCAGUCCUUGAGAAAAAUGACCUAUUGCGUCACUUUGUAAGUUGCGGAUCGUCUUCGUUUGUAUAAGUAGUCUCUACACUUAUUAUAUAUACUUUUAAG
Molecule: long non-coding RNA, 1073 nt
Organism: Centruroides sculpturatus (bark scorpion)
Lineage: Eukaryota; Metazoa; Arthropoda; Arachnida; Scorpiones; Buthidae
Exons: 3
Source: RefSeq, a predicted model, not a curated record